CGUAACAAGGUCUCCGUAGGUGAACCUGCGGAGGGAUCAUUACACAAAUAUGAAGGCGGGCUGGAACCUCUCGGGGUUACAGCCUUGCUGAAUUAUUCACCCUUGUCUUUUGCGUACUUCUUGUUUCCUUGGUGGGUUCGCCCACCACUAGGACAACCAUAAACCUUUUGUAAUUGCAAUCAGCGUCAGUAACAAAUUAAUAAUUACAACUUUCAACAACGGAUCUCUUGGUUCUGGCAUCGAUGAAGAACGCAGCGAAAUGCGAUAAGUAGUGUGAAUUGCAGAAUUCAGUGAAUCAUCGAAUCUUUGGACGCACAUUGCGCCCUUUGGUAUUCCAAAGGGCAUGCCUGUUCGAGCGUCAUUUGUACCCUCAAGCUUUGCUUGGUGUUGGGCGUCUUGUCUCUAGCUUUGCUGGAGACUCGCCUUAAAGUAAUUGGCAGCCGGCCUACUGGUUUCGGAGCGCAGCACAAGUCGCACUCUCUAUCAGCAAAGGUCUAGCAUCCAUUAAGCCUUUUCUUCAACUUUUGACCUCGGAUCAGGUAGGGAUACCCGCUGAACUUAAGCA
Molecule: ribosomal RNA, 565 nt
Filed under: uncultured fungus
Lineage: Eukaryota; Fungi
Description: eukaryotic LSU rRNA
Rfam family: 5.8S ribosomal RNA (bases 208-361)
Source: RNAcentral